ACUGUUUUGACAAAUUCUCAAGCUGCUUUCUAGUAGCAUCCAACUCUUGCAAUGCUGUGUCUCUCUCCUGAUCAGUGGAUCCCAUUUUUGACUCUGCACUUGAAUUUUCAUCCUCUUUAGACUCCAAUUUCAAUUCCAUUUCUAAUGAUUUCCUCCUCAGUUCCUCCAUAUCCCACUGCAUUUGUGUAAGCCUUUCUCUCUCAAUUAAAAUAGCCUGCUGCAGGUUUUCUUUAUUUUUCUGUUUGGUAGUUUCAAGUUCUGCCUCCAAAUCCUUGACCUUUGUAGUAAGGUAAUCUUUUACAGCUAUUUCUUGAUUUAAUCUUGCUAUAAGGUCCUCCAUGUCUGUUUUUGUUGUGACUAAUCUCCGCUGCAUGGUUGUUAGAACCCUGUUCAUUUUAUGACGCUGAUCCAAUGGAAGGACUAUUUGUGCAUCACCUGUAAAUUGCAACUCCGUGCUGCCAAGAAUACCUGCCAUACUAAGAACCUCAGAACCCCCAGGAAGGUCAAGAGAUCCAUCACCAGAUGAAUUUGGUAUGCCAGAGUUUGAUAUUUCACUGCCUCUUAGAGAACUUCCAUCACUUCCAAUGCUCUCGCUAGAUAACUUUCGAGCAUGACCAAAAGCCUUGCCAGGCUCUGGCUCAGAGAAAAGUUCCAUCCCAUUGCCAGCAAGAAAUGAGGAUUUAGAAGCAUUUCCAUUAUAUGUAUCCUUCCCUAUGACAUUAUUCACAUGUCUGUCAUGCGGUUUGUGCCUUGGAAUACCUUCAAGCUGCUCCAGAAUAGUCUGUCCCAUAAAUAGCCCCUCAUCAAUGUUGGACAUGCCAUAGUUCACAAGCUUUUCUAUUGGAUUUGUCAAAUCUUCAUCCAAUGUUAGACCCUCAGUUCCAAUUUCAAAAUGUUCAUCCCUUACUAACCUUGGUGUUCCAAGCUCCGAUGUCUCAUAAGCAGUAUCACUACCAUAAUCUGAUGCAACUGACGAACUACCAACAAUCACAGAAGAAGUGGAAUGUGGAGGUAUUUGAAGUGAAGGUGUGCUAUCAACAGCAGGACUAGUCUCUGAUGACUGCUUAUUUACAUCCUGGAAUGCUGAGAGAUGUUGAAAAUAUAAGGUCAAUUUUAUUUUUCAGAAAAGAAAAAUAAUUUGACAAAUCCAAAAGGAGGCAAAUACGUAGUGUGUCAAUUUUAUUUCUGAAAAAACAAAAGUAGCAGUGUACUUUCACUUAAAUAUAAAACAAGAGCCAAUGAUGUUUCAAGGUGAACUUGCUGCAAUACAAUAACACAUACAAGACCUCACAGCAGCUUCUAGUUCAAGAAAAGAUGCCACUGCCACGCUACGUGAUAAAUCAAUGUCAGAUAGCAGCUUUGUCAUCCACUCCUCCAAAGAGCACCUUCUCUCUUCCAAAAGUGCCCUGCUUUUCAUUCGUAGUAGUCCCUUGGGUGGAGCUGGUGGAAGAUUUUUCUUUGGAAAUGAUUUUUUAAGAUUACUAAAAAACUUCAGAAAAUCAUUAAAUCUUCUCAACACUGUAUGCGUAGUUGUAAUCCCUUCCGGUGAUUGCACACCAACCUGAACCCUGUAAAACUGUCCCCUAAGAAUGUUAAAGUUGAAGAUGUUUAACAUUUGUGCAAGGUCAUUAAUACGUGCAUGCACACAAACAGACAUAUAUACAUGAAUGUCCAUCAAAUGGGAAACUGACUCACAAUAUCACAAGAAUCUUGUUAAUUAUGGCAAGUACAUUUGGGAGUGCAAAGCUAGCAACUUUUAUAUAACGCUGAAUACAAAUGAAAGCUACAAGACACUAAACUUCUAAUAUCCCAACAGUUAAAACUUGAGAUUCCAACUCAGAUCUCGAGUCAAAGAGUUACUAGGGUGCAAAAAUUUAUAAGGGAAAAGCUAUACCCAUUGUAUAGUGAAAACAAUGGGCAAAAAUAAAUAGUAAUUAUAGUUAAUAAAUUGUUAGUGUUCAGUUUAUGGGUUGCAGAUGAAUUCGCAAAUCCAACUAGAAAGAGAAUUGGUUAAAAUGAGUUAAAAAGGACAUUUUUUUAAAGUGAUUCUUGUACUGCUGGAAUGAAAUGUAAAAACAGAACCCAAGUUCUUAGCCACUUUCACCAUGAUUGCAUAUUUAGAGAUCAUUUAAUAAGUUCUAUAACAGGCAGUUUACUAAUGGUUAAUGAAUGCAGAACAUUUGUGCAAACUUAGAGGUGUUUUUCGAGUGAAGAAUAUAUAUAUAUGGAAAAAACGCUUGCAUUCUAAAGCAAUAAAUGGUAAUACGCAGUCAUUUAUAUCUUGCAAGUGAAUCCAAUAUUUUUUCAAGUCAAAUUUGUAGAGAUAGUAUAAUAACAACAUCUAACCCUUGGCAUAGAUAAACACUGGAGAGUCAUUCAAUUUGAAUACCACUACAGGAUCUGAAUCUCUUGAUUUUGGAAGAACAGCCCAGGAAGGUAUAGUGACACAAUAACUCCAUCCCGAUCUAGGAUCAUGCGGCCAAAUGGUAUCCCGCCCAUUCCAUUUUCGAGGGGGAGGACUCCAAUCCAUCCCCAAAGGCAGCGGAGAAGUCCCAUCAUGUCUGUGCUUGGGUGGACUCCGUCUCUGCAUCAUCUUCUAUUCUCCCUCAAAAAUUCUCUCUCUAAAAAUUGAGAGUGAUCAUAAGAUCACUCUCAGCCUUCCCUAUAUCUGAAUUAACAAUGAUCUCUCAAAAUCCGUCUCCAAUUCUCGCGUCAGAAACCAAAUUCAACAAUCUAAUAGAAAAUAAGCGACUCUGCAGAGCUGGAGAAAUUGUCAGGGUUCUGGCGAUCGCAUCGGAGGUAGAAGACAAAGAAAGACCAGGUAUGGAAUCCGUACAAUAAUAUCAAAAUAGUCGUCUUCGUUGUGGCAUUCUUUUCGGAGCUAAACGACGUCGCACGAUAACAAAUGAAGAGGCAAACGUGGCUGCAGAGAAAGAGAGAGUUAAUGCGUCACCUCACCAGCUGCUUGGAUUCUGAGUUCUCUUUCCCUGGUUGGAGAAAGAAAAAGAGAGCGAAGGUCGUAACUUGUAAGGAUGGAUGGGAGUCCACAAAAUCAAAUCUCAACUCGGCUUUUACCUAACUGUCUUUUUUAGCAUCUGCUUUGAUUUUAGCUUCACGGCAGGGACAAUGAGAAGCCUAAUUCGGCCCUUGCUGGAGAUGGGUAAGCUUCAAUUUCAUCUUCUUUCCUCGGCCCGGCCCUCUUCCUUU
RNAcentral lists this unclassified non-coding RNA (3207 nucleotides) under Hevea brasiliensis (rubber tree). The record is from RNAcentral. Lineage: Eukaryota; Viridiplantae; Streptophyta; Magnoliopsida; Malpighiales; Euphorbiaceae.